AAAAAAAAAAAAAGAAAAACCAGUGAAAAAAAGGAAAACCAGAACUACAAUCAUUUCGAUCGCACCCGUAAUUGCUAUGGAUUUGAAAUUGAAUUGGUUUGACCAAGUUAAAAACUUGUCAAAAUAUAUUAGAAAUUAUACAAUAAUAAUAGUGAUAGUUACGCACAAAUUUGCCUUAUUUAAUUGACCAUCAAAUGUGGCUUAUUUCAUUCAAACAAGAGAAACUUUAAAAGGAGCUUUUUCAAGCUCAUUUUUUCUUAAAUAGGAAUAGUGCAACCAUCCAUUCUUCCCCAUUGUUGUAUCCAAAAAGUUCUGCAACUGCAAUAAAGAAUGUUCUCCAGUGGACGGUCCACUUGAUAGCUUGAUCCUUGCCGUAAGUUGAUUCUAUUAUUGGCUUAAUCAAAGCCAUGUUUUCGUCCAUUCUUUUGAGCCAUGCCUCACUACAAGUUUUCAGUAAAUCAUAAAAUUAAAUUAGGCACGUCUAUUGCCUCAAGAUAGGAGAACGAUAAAUCUGAAAAGUACAAUAAAUUGCAGGAUUACUAUCCAUCCUCACCUUGUCUGUGCAUAAUGUUUCCCAUUCGCAAGCCAGUCUUGAUAAGAUCUGAUUUGGCUUUGCUGUACAUCUUUAUUUAUGAAUUCUUUAGCUUUAGUAUUCUUAUCCACUGGCACAUGACUAGUCAUCGCUAUUUGAACCUAUAUUAAUUUAUGCUUUAGAAGGAAAAGAUAUGUUUGCUGAUAAGAGAUGCAGAGCUGACCUGGAAAUGAAGCAACAGAUUUGCAGCAGGCAUUGUUCCUCCAGUGAAGAAAUACCUAGUAAUCCAGUCAUCUUCAUUUAUAUCCUGAAUAGAAACAGAAGAUGGAAUGUAUGUUAUUAGAUAUGCAAGAGGUAGCUGUUGCACUCAUUUCAUAUAGGCA
Molecule: unclassified non-coding RNA, 915 nt
Filed under: Hevea brasiliensis (rubber tree)
Lineage: Eukaryota; Viridiplantae; Streptophyta; Magnoliopsida; Malpighiales; Euphorbiaceae
Source: RNAcentral